RNAcentral lists this long non-coding RNA (594 nucleotides) under Sorghum bicolor (sorghum). RNAcentral describes it as "long non-coding RNA (SBIC_LNC000462)". Lineage: Eukaryota; Viridiplantae; Streptophyta; Magnoliopsida; Poales; Poaceae. The record is from RNAcentral.
GGCUGAAAUACUUCACCUCUCAAACUAUAAAACUGGACAUUCUAGCCUUUGACCUUUCAAAACCGGUCAAAUAACCCCCCAGAGUGGUUUUAGAUGGUGGUUUUGUCUUUUUCUCUUUUUUUAUUUAUUUUUACUGAAUCUUUGAAAAAAUAUAAUAAAUCAUAGAAAAAUCAUAAAAUAAAAAAUUCAAUUUUGUUGAACUCCUGAUGAGUAGAUUUAUGGUAUAUUUUAGUAUAAAGUUUUUUUCUACACCGUGAAUAUAUAAUAUGGUAUAUUUUAGUAUAAAGUUUUUUUUCUAUAGCUUUAAAAUGUAUGUUUUUUGGUAAUUAAUUUAAAUAAUUCAUAUAUGUAGUUCUAUGGUCCAAUUGUGGUAAAAUUUUUAUGGUGAGCUCAUUAUUGUAUGCUUAAACUAUAGUAAAAACUUCAUACUCAUUAAAUCACGUAUAACUUAGUUAUAGAUUUAUUUAGCUUUAUUAUUGUUAAAUCUAUGCUUUAUCUAGACUUAACUGAGGGUUUUACGAAGGACUAUUAACGCGUUCUUUUAACCAUAAAUAAAUGAGCUACGACACCUCUUUAGCUGAACAACGUUGUCAU